AGUGUUGUGGUUCAGUGGUAGAACACUCACCUAGCAUGUGCAAGGCCCUGGGUUCGAUCCCCAGCAUCAUAU
This 72-nucleotide transfer RNA is filed under the name Ictidomys tridecemlineatus (thirteen-lined ground squirrel). Its description in RNAcentral is "Spermophilus tridecemlineatus (thirteen-lined ground squirrel) tRNA". It matches the Rfam family "tRNA". Rfam says of the family: Transfer RNA (tRNA) molecules are approximately 80 nucleotides in length. Their secondary structure includes four short double-helical elements and three loops (D, anti-codon, and T loops). Lineage: Eukaryota; Metazoa; Chordata; Mammalia; Rodentia; Sciuridae. The record is from Rfam by way of RNAcentral.